Rhipicephalus sanguineus (brown dog tick) is the source of this 182-nucleotide small nuclear RNA. RefSeq annotates it as U2 spliceosomal RNA. NCBI's taxonomy places the organism in Eukaryota, Metazoa, Arthropoda, Arachnida, Ixodida, Ixodidae. The transcript has a single exon. The record is from RefSeq and is a predicted model, not a curated record.
ACCUCCUGUACCAAACAUAAAUAAAAAACUCCGUUCUUAUCAGCCUAAUAUCUCAUACGGGUCCCAUUUGCACCGAAGAUAUUAAACUUAUUUUUGGAAUGUGGCGAAGUGCUUGAAGUUUGCUUCACCUCCGCCACGGGUUGGCCCGGUAUUGCACUAUCUCCGGGAUUGGCCCACUCACC